GUGGGGGCUUGUGUCUGAAGUAACGUGGGCUCACGGCUGCCACACACGACCCUCCCGUGGCGUUGCCACUUGUGUGGGGCACAAGUUCUGUCAUCUGGCCAAGGAGCCUGGCUCCUCAGUAGCAUUGCAGCCCUGUGACAGCCUGCCACGCGUGUCCCUCCCUAGCCCCAGCGCACACACUGGCCUCCUCACUCCCGCUUGCACCCAGGCGCUUCUCCCCUCCCUUCUGUGUGAAGACUGGUUUAGGACAGUGCUUCUCGACGUGCUCCGGACCAGCUGCACCAGUGGGGCACACAGGCCUCUCCCCACACCUGCAGGGUCAGGCGCUGGGGAGGGACCUGACGUCUGUAUGAUCACAAGCAUCCCUGGUGACCCUCAUGUGUGCUGACACUGAAACAUUCUGUAUGGCAUGCUUUUAAGGAGAAAAGUAACAUUUUAGAUAUUUUCUGUUUUCCUGACGAGCAUCAGACUUUAUUAGUACUGUGUUCGAUAGUAUUUUAUCUUCUUUGUGAAUUUUGGCAAGCAAAUUUUAUUUUAAAGCUCCUUGUUCCUUCUUUGUUAGUACUUUAACUUCUUUGUUUCAGGUAACCACACACACACACACGCACACACACACACACACACACACACACACACACAAGGAGCAGUGUGUUUGCUCUGAAUUCUAAUUGUUCAGGAUAGGAUAGGACAGAAAAGAAGUCUAAAUAUUUCUGGGAAUUAUAUUUAUUAUGUAAUUUAUGUAUGUGUGUGUAUGUAUCUCAGCAGACGGAAUAAAGCAUCUGCUCAAGUUGGACAUGUGUUCAUUACAAAAACUCUUAAGUAGGACUACACAGGCACAUCCUUAACAUAAUAAAAGGUAUCCAUAAAGUACAACAAAUGCCAUACUGACAGUGAAACAUUAAAAACUGCCCCUUGAGAUUAAAAAAGAAAAAAGAAGAGAAGGAUGCCCAUCAUCACAACUUCUGUUUGCGAAGACGUAAGAAGAAAAAAAAGGGUUCAGAAAAAAACACUUGAUAAAAUCUUAGCACUCUGUUAAAGAGAAGAAGAAGAAGAAGAGGAGGAGGAGGAGGAGGAGGAGGAGGAGGAGGAAGAAGAAGAAGAAGAAAAAUGGUAAACUAGCAAUAGAAGGAAAUAUCCUUAACCUGAAAAGAUUUACCAAAAGAAGAGAGAGAAAAGAAAUUCACAUGGAACGUUUUCUGAAAUGGGAAACAUGGAAGCGCGUGCAACACAGAGGUGCUCUGUUUCCACUUCUGUUCAACCUUAAAUUAUAAUUCCUAGACAGCAGAA
Molecule: long non-coding RNA, 1287 nt
Organism: Lynx canadensis (Canada lynx)
Lineage: Eukaryota; Metazoa; Chordata; Mammalia; Carnivora; Felidae
Exons: 2
Source: RefSeq, a predicted model, not a curated record